Molecule: ribosomal RNA, 301 nt
Filed under: uncultured bacterium
Lineage: Bacteria
Description: partial 16S ribosomal RNA
Rfam family: Bacterial small subunit ribosomal RNA
Source: RNAcentral
CAGCCGCCACGGUAAUACGUAGGGCGCAAGCGUUAUCCGGAAUUAUUGGGCGUAAAGAGCUCGUAGGCGGUUUGUCGCGUCUGCCGUGAAAGUCCGGGGCUCAACCCCGGAUCUGCGGUGGGUACGGGCAGACUAGAGUGAUGUAGGGGAGACUGGAAUUCCUGGUGUAGCGGUGAAAUGCGCAGAUAUCAGGAGGAACACCGAUGGCGAAGGCAGGUCUCUGGGCAUUAACUGACGCUGAGGAGCGAAAGCAUGGGGAGCGAACAGGAUUAGAUACCCCUGUAGUCCCUGUCUCUUAUAC